AUUGAACGCUGGCGGCAUGCCUUACACAUGCAAGUCGAACGGCAGCACGGGUGCUUGCACCUGGUGGCGAGUGGCGAACGGGUGAGUAAUACAUCGGCACAUGUCCUGUAGUGGGGGAUAGCCCGGCGAAAGCCGGAUUAAUACCGCAUACGAUCUACGGCUGAAAGCGGGGGCCCUUCGGGCCUCGCGCUAUAGGGUUGGCCGAUGGCUGAUUAGCUAGUUGGUGGGGUAAAGGCCUACCAAGGCGACGAUCAGUAGCUGGUCUGAGAGGACGACCAGCCACACUGGGACUGAGACACGGCCCAGACUCCUACGGGAGGCAGCAGUGGGGAAUUUUGGACAAUGGGCGAAAGCCUGAUCCAGCAAUGCCGCGUGUGUGAAGAAGGCCUUCGGGUUGUAAAGCACUUUUGUCCGGAAAGAAAUCCUUGGCCCUAAUACGGUCGGGGGAUGACGGUACCGGAAGAAUAAGCACCGGCUAACUACGUG
RNAcentral lists this ribosomal RNA (486 nucleotides) under uncultured bacterium. RNAcentral's name for it is "partial 16S ribosomal RNA". It matches the Rfam family "Bacterial small subunit ribosomal RNA", at positions 30 to 507 of the family's 1533-position model. The record is from RNAcentral.